RNAcentral lists this long non-coding RNA (240 nucleotides) under Capsicum annuum. RNAcentral describes it as "long non-coding RNA (CANN_LNC010009)". The record is from RNAcentral. Lineage: Eukaryota; Viridiplantae; Streptophyta; Magnoliopsida; Solanales; Solanaceae.
UGGACACUACAAAAUACCCUCCUUACGACUCAUUAGGAGUCUAUACGACUCGUUAAGUAUAGUCGUUAUCAAGGCAGUGUCUUAGGCAAAUCCCUCUAGGUCAUACGACUAGGUCUUAUGACCUGUAAAGACACAUAAUGACUCAUCAGGUGAGUUAAAGUCAGGACAGUGGGGAUAAAAUUCAAGAAAUUUUCAAUGACCAAAAACCCAGGGCGUUACAAUGCCCUAGAGACACCACGG